This 253-nucleotide ribosomal RNA is filed under the name uncultured bacterium. RNAcentral's name for it is "partial 16S ribosomal RNA". It matches the Rfam family "Bacterial small subunit ribosomal RNA", at positions 524 to 776 of the family's 1533-position model. The record is from RNAcentral.
UACGAGGGGUGCAAGCGUUGCUCGGAAUUAUUGGGCGUAAAGGGUAGGUAGGUGGUCUCGUUUGUCUGGGGUGAAAGCCUUGAGCUUAACUCAAGAAGUGCCCCAGAAACGGCGAGACUAGAGUACUGGAGAGGGUCGUGGAAUUCCCGGUGUAGCGGUGAAAUGCGUAGAGAUCGGGAGGAACACCAGAGGCGAAGGCGGCGACCUGGACAGUAACUGACACUCAACUACGAAAGCGUGGGGAGCAAACAGG